RNAcentral lists this transfer RNA (58 nucleotides) under Maratecoara formosa. RNAcentral's name for it is "tRNA-Tyr". The record is from RNAcentral. Lineage: Eukaryota; Metazoa; Chordata; Actinopteri; Cyprinodontiformes; Rivulidae.
UAAGAUAAUAAAUAGUGGAAUGUAGCUUCACUAGUAAGGGUUAAAUUCCCUUUCUUAC